CCCAGCUGCGGGCGCCGGGCAGCUGGCUGCGCUAGGACCCACGGCCUCCGGCCGCUGGGGCGGAGUGGCCAGGCAGGAGCGGGAGCCGGAGGGCCCGGGAGACCGGCGCUGUCCGGAGUGUGGAACGGCAUGCAGCUGCGGGAGCCCGCGUGAGGGUGUCGGCCUGGGGCCCCCGCCAUGGCUGGCAAGGACAGUGGCAACCUGAAGACGGUGAGGCUGUGGCGGGACGCCGCCCUGCGUGCCAGGAAGCUGAGGAGCAACCUGCGCCAGCUGACCCUCAGCGCGGCCGGGGGCUUUCCCGGGGCCGGAGCCGACCCCCUGGAAUCCCCCGACUCCCCUCAGCUGGUGCUGCCAGCCAACAUCGGAGACAUUGAGGUGCUAAACCUGGGGAACAAUGGCCUGGAGGAGGUGCCGGACGGGCUAGGGUCAGCUCUGGGCAGCCUGCGCGUCUUGAUCCUGCGCAGGAACCGCUUCGCCCGGCUGCCCCCUGCGGUGGCUGAGCUCGGCCACCACCUCACCGAGCUGGACCUGAGUCACAACCGGCUGACCGCCCUGGGUGCGGAGGUUGUGAGCGCCCUAAGGGAGCUGCGCAAGCUCAACCUCAGCCACAACCAUCUGCCCUGCCUACCCGCCCAGCUGGGUGCCCUCGCCCACCUGGAGGAGCUGGACGUCAGCUUCAACCGGCUGGCGCACCUGCCUGACUCCCUCUCCUGCCUCCACCGCCUGCGCACUCUUGACGUGGACCACAACCAGCUCACUGCCUUUCCCCGGCAGCUGCUGCAGCUGGCGGCUCUGGAGGAGCUGGACGUGUCCAGCAACCGGCUUCGAGGCCUACCUGAGGAUAUUAGUGCCCUGCGUGCCAUCAAGAUCCUCUGGCUGAGUGGGGCUGAACUGGGCACCCUGCCCAAUGGCUUCUGCCAGCUGGCCAGUUUGGAGAGCCUCAUGCUAGACAACAACGGGCUGCAGGCUCUGCCUGAGCAGUUCAGCCACCUUCAACGGCUCAAAAUGCUCAACCUCUCUUCCAAUCUCUUUGAGGAGUUUCCUGCCACGCUGCUGCCCCUGGCUGGUCUGGAGGAGCUCUACCUUAGUCGAAACCAGCUCACCUCAGUGCCAUCCCUUAUCUCGGGGCUGGGCCGGCUUCUUACUUUGUGGCUGGAUAAUAACCGCAUCCGCUACCUGCCAGACUCCAUUGUGGAGCUGACUGGGCUGGAGGAGCUGGUGUUGCAAGGGAACCAGAUCGCUGUGCUGCCUGACAACUUUGGCCAGCUCUCCCGGGUGGGCCUGUGGAAGAUCAAGGACAACCCACUGAUCCAGCCCCCCUACGAAGUGUGCAUGAAGGGGAUCCCCUACAUCGCAGCCUACCAGAAGGAGCUGGCUCAUUCGCAGCCUGCAGUGCAGCCACGUCUCAAGCUGCUCCUCAUGGGCCACAAGGCUUCAGGAAAGACCUUGCUCAGGCACUGCCUCACGGAGGAGAGAGUAGGGGGAAGCCAAGGAGGAGGGGACAAGGAGAAGAGUUACUCACCUUCUCCUUCCCCUGGGAGCAAGGGCAUCGAGGUGACAAGCUGGACGGCUGAUGCCUCCCGGGGCCUGCGGUUCGUCGUGUAUGACUUAGCUGGUGAUGAAAGUUAUGAAGUGAUUCAGCCUUUCUUUCUCUCCCCAGGGGCUCUGUAUGUGCUGGUGGUCAACUUGGCCACCUAUGAACCAUGCUGCUUUCCCACCACUGUGGGCUCCUUCUUGCAUCGGGUAGGGGCUCGGGUGCCUCAUGCCGUGGUGUGCAUUGUGGGCACACAUGCUGACCUGUGUGCUGAGCGGGAGCUGGAGGAGAAGUGUUUGGACAUUCACCGCCAGAUUGCACUGCAGGAGAAGCACGACGCAGAGGGCCUGAGCCACCUAGCCCAGGUAGUAGAUGAGGCCUUGGCCCGGGACUUUGAGCUGCGCUCUGCCAGCCCCCAUGCAGCCUACUAUGGUGUUUCAGACAAGAACCUUCGGCGGCGCAAAGCUCAUUUUCAGUACCUACUUAACCACCGGCUGCAGAUCCUCUCACCUGUGUUGCCUGUUAGCUGCUGGGAUCCCCGCCUAUUGCAGCGUCUUAGGGACAAGCUGCUCUCAGUGGCUGAGCACCGAGAAAUCUUCCCCAACUUACAUAGAGUCCUGCCUCGGUCCUGGCAGGUGCUGGAAGAACUGCAUUUCCAGCCCCCUCAGGCACAACGACUUUGGCUAAGCUGGUGGGACUCAGCACGUCUGGGCCUGCAGGCUGGUCUGACCGAGGACCGGCUGCAGAGUGCCCUUUCCUAUUUGCAUGAGAGUGGCAAGCUGCUCUACUUUGAGGACAGCCCAGCCCUCAAGGAGCAUGUCUUCCACAACCUUACCCGCCUCAUCGACAUCCUCAAUGUCUUUUUCCAGAGGGAUGCUUCCUUGCUGCUGCAUAAACUGCUCCUGGGGACCAGUGGAGAGGGUGAGGCCGAGGGGGAAAGUUUCCCUGCUAUGGCACUGCCCACCUCGAACCAGGAUGUGCUCCGGGCCACCCAGCUCCAUCAUUAUGUAGAGGGCUUUCUGCUGCAUGGGCUCCUGCCAGCCCAUGUGAUUCGGUUGCUGCUCAAGCCUCAUGUCCAGGCCCAAGAGGACUUGCAGCUACUGCUAGAGCUGCUAGAGAAGAUGGGACUCUGUUACUGCCUCAAUAAACCCAAGGGCAAGCCUUUGAAUGGCUCAACAGCUUGGUACAAGUUCCCAUGCUAUGUGCAGAAUGAUGUGCCCCAUGCAGAGGCCUGGAUUAAUGGGACCAACCUAGCUGGCCAGUCUUUUGUGGCUGAGCAGUUGCAAAUUGAAUAUAGUUUCCCCUUUACCUUUCCACCUGGGUUGUUUGCUCGCUACAGCGUCCAGAUCAACAGCCAUGUGGUGCACAGGUCAGAUGGUAAAUUUCAGAUCUUUGCAUAUAGAGGGAAAGUUCCUGUGGUGGUGAGUUACAGACCUGCCAAGGGGGUCCUACAACCAGACACCCUGUCCAUUGCCAGCCAUGCAUCAUUACCAAAUAUAUGGACUGCAUGGCAAGCUAUUACCCCCUUGGUAGAGGAACUGAAUGUCCUACUUCAGGAAUGGCCCGGACUGCACUACACCGUGCACAUCCUCUGUUCUAAGUGCCUUAAGAGAGGAUCGCCCAAUCCACACGCUUUCCCAGGGGAGUUGCUGAGCCAGCCUAGACCAGAAGGAGUGGCAGAGAUCAUUUGCCCCAAGAAUGGUAGCGAGAGGGUGAAUGUGGCCUUGGUUUACCCACCUACACCAACUGUGAUCAGCCCCUGUUCCAAGUAUCUUCAUACUUUCUUGGAAAAUUAAGUGGAAAAGAUAGUGCUUCUUUCCCUUAUGCCAUCAUUUUUACUGUACCUAAUCUGUGACUUUAGGAGCGCGAAAUUUUAAGGGAAGAAUGUUGGUGAAAAGCACAGAAAUCAGUGACUUUUCUGGCUGUGGGGUUUCCAUGGAGAAAACAGAGCAGUGGAGCCCACUGGGACCAUCUUCUUCUGUACGUGGCAUGCCCUCCAAGUCUCAAGCAUGCAGGGUGAGCUGAGUGAAGAUGCACCCAGGCUGCUUUGAGGCAACGUGGAGGGGCACAGGAAGGAUGGGAGAGAACAUGGAGCAAAUGUUUCACAAACUGAACCUCAGAACUGUGAUCCUCUAAGGAGAGCACUACUUGAAGAAGAGUCGAAUGGCUUCUCAGGGAUUUUGUUUUCUGUGCACAUAUAAGCCAUAGUUACAGUACAGGUGGCAGUAUUUAGAGCACUUCGGUUUCAGUUCUGUUCAAUGUGAAAGAGGGAUCGACCGACGUUCAUUGCUGUUCAUAACUAGUGUAAGAUAUGUAUAUGUUUAUCUUUAUUUUUAUAAUAUGAAAAUACCUUUAAAUUUAUACAGUUUGAAGCUUCUAGCAUCAGUUAACACUGGGUGCAAUAUUCUGCAUGAGAACUGUGCCAAGAUGGGGCUGAUUUCUUAUGUUCGUGUAAGACACUUUUGUUCUCUCUUUAUUCUUUAAUCUGCCUUCUGAGUUUAGAAAGAAAGAAAGACAGCAAUCAGUUAGCCCAUAGAUUUAAUGUUGAUUCAUAGAGGUUGCCAGUAAUCAGCAAGAUCCUUCUACAUGUGCUUCAGAUGGUGCCCCUCCAGCCUCUCCGUUAACGGUCCUGCCUGUAAGUUAGUGGACGUGAUGGCAGGAUUCUCCUCAUUCUCUCCACACGUAUCAUUAGUUCGGGGACAAAGAUGAGGCAUUUGGGGGGGAGCCAGAGGGGACAAAAAGUCCAUGAAAAACCUGAUCUUUGAAUAACUGAAGAUAAUCAGAAGUGAAUUCUGAAUCAUGGUGGGGGCUCUGCUAAUAUGUAACUUUCAUUUCUAGAACAGAGUGCUUUGUGAACCCUCCACAUCUGAUUGUGGGACCUUCAGAUAGAAAGCCACCUAGUUGGGGAGGCCAGUCCUAUGCUGGCCAUUUAUUCAUACAGAAUCUGUUAUUACACAAUUUACUGCCAAGAACUGGUAAAACCCCUGUUUUGAAAUCUUCGGGAAGUAAAACUUAAAAAGCAAACCCAGCAAGUUGCUCUUCAGUCUCCUACUUAAGGCUAAACAGCAUCUGCUGUAAAAGUAAUACAUUCUUUGAAGAAUGUGAAGACUCUGUUUACAUCUGCCGCUGCUACAUGUAGAUAGAAAAUAUCUCAGUUUCUCACCAAUGUCAGACAAGAAAAGUGACACCGCUGGUAUUACUCUCUCACUUCAUUCACAUAAUAUUGACUCUUAGGAUGCCACAAGACACAAAGUCUCCACAUAUUUUAAAAGAAUAUAAAUGGCUAGAUUUUGAGAAAUCUCAGUUGAUUUUUGUAGAAUAUUUUGUGCCCCAAAAGUUAACUUCAAUGACUCCAGAGCCCCAGUUACACGAGUGUGAUUUCCUAUGAUCUUAAAAUCAUGUGAGAUCAGACUCUUUCUCUGUUUUUAAUACUUGAAUAUGACCCUCAAGUUUGAGAUUUCAUUUUCCUUUUAGAACACAGUCACAAGAUUAAUUUGGUUAAUCCUUUUGUCACAGUUCUCAUUUGUGUGUGUGUGUGUUUGUGUGUGUGGGGAUAAGUGUAAAUGGAAACUGAAUGUUAACAUUUAAUUGCUUUAUGGACCACUGAAUUGUUAGGCAAUAAGAAUUUUUUAAUUGGCACCAGACAGUUCCUUACAUCAACCAGUUCUGACCAGUCUUUGGAUAAAGGCAUUUAAAUGGGUGACUUUGGGCUCCCUCCCCUGAAGACCAUAUUAAAUGAAAUGAUGCCCCUUUGGGUGAUAUAUCCUGUAAAGUAUUUGCUAUUUUCCAUGAACAUCAGUGCCCAUGUUCUUAGUAUCUGCUCUUUUUUCACACAUGAUGUUUUGUUCUGUCAUCUGAACCCUGAAGAAGCAGUGUAAGAGGUAAGCUUGGUGUUGAGUGUGUUUGGGCCUAAGGGUAGGCAUGAUAGAGGGUCCUGUGACCACAAUAAGCUCUGGAAGAGUAUGGGGAGAGAGUGGAGAAACAGAAAUACUCUGCUCUGAAGCAGUUUUUGCCGUCUGUGUAGGAAAUUCCAUUUUCUCUUUCAACCCCCAGGAAGACUCAACAACCAGCUGAGGCUGACAAGCAAUUCACUAAGCACAAGAGGAAUUUUUUUCCAACCUAGGAGUCCCUUGCCUCUCAAACAGAUGCCCUGCAAGUUUGUUAUGGUUUCUAUUCCUGCAACUUGUGGUAUCAAAGCCACUUCCUGGAAUUGUAAAAGUGCUGCCAGAAUGUUUUCCCCCCUUCUAAGAAAAAAAUGACAGUGCUCAUAUUUGACGCUGAAUCGAAAUGUAUAAUUGAUAUUGUGAAAUAGCAUUGGACUCUCUUUUGAAUGAAUAAAGAGGAAAGGGACUGAUGUGAUUCCUGACA
Molecule: non-coding RNA, 5902 nt
Organism: Heterocephalus glaber (naked mole-rat)
Lineage: Eukaryota; Metazoa; Chordata; Mammalia; Rodentia; Bathyergidae
Source: RefSeq, a predicted model, not a curated record